CUACACUUCAUAUGUUCAGUUUGUAAAUGACGGUCCGCCUUUAUGUGUAACAUGGUUAAAUCUAGAUUUAAAG
Molecule: non-coding RNA, 73 nt
Organism: Pangasianodon gigas (Mekong giant catfish)
Lineage: Eukaryota; Metazoa; Chordata; Actinopteri; Siluriformes; Pangasiidae
Source: the annotation of a GenBank genome assembly